This 617-nucleotide ribosomal RNA is filed under the name Pleurotus ostreatus (oyster mushroom). RNAcentral describes it as "eukaryotic LSU rRNA". The stretch from base 252 to 405 matches the Rfam family "5.8S ribosomal RNA". The record is from RNAcentral. Lineage: Eukaryota; Fungi; Basidiomycota; Agaricomycetes; Agaricales; Pleurotaceae.
CCUGCGGAAGGAUCAUUAAUGAAUUCACUAUGGAGUUGUUGCUGGCCUCUAGGGGCAUGUGCACGCUUCACUAGUCUUUCAACCACCUGUGAACUUUUGAUAGAUCUGUGAAGUCGUCUCUCAAGUCGUCAGACUUGGUUUGCUGGGAUUUAAACGUCUCGGUGUGACAACGCAGUUUAUUUACUUAACACACCCCAAAUGUAUGUCUACGAAUGUCAUUUAAUGGGCCUUGUGCCUAUAAACCAUAAUACAACUUUCAACAACGGAUCUCUUGGCUCUCGCAUCGAUGAAGAACGCAGCGAAAUGCGAUAAGUAAUGUGAAUUGCAGAAUUCAGUGAAUCAUCGAAUCUUUGAACGCACCUUGCGCCCCUUGGUAUUCCGAGGGGCAUGCCUGUUUGAGUGUCAUUAAAUUCUCAAACUCACUUUGGUUUCUUUCCAAUUGUGAUGUUUGGAUUGUUGGGGGCUGCUGGCCUUGACAGGUCGGCUCCUCUUAAAUGCAUUAGCAGGACUUCUCAUUGCCUCUGCGCAUGAUGUGAUAAUUAUCACUCAUCAAUAGCACGCAUGAAUAGAGUCCAGCUCUCUAAUCGUCCGCAAGGACAAUUUGACAAUUUGACCUC